CAGCAGCCGCGGUAAUACGAAGGGGGCUAGCGUUGUUCGGAAUUACUGGGCGUAAAGCGCACGUAGGCGGAUAUUUAAGUCAGGGGUGAAAUCCCAGAGUUCAACCCUGGAACUGCCUUUGAUACUGGGUAUCUUGAGUAUGGAAGAGGUGAGUGGAAUUCCGAGUGUAGCGGUGAAAUGCGUAGAUAUCGGAAGGAACACCUGUGGCGAAAGCGGCUCACUGGACCAUAACAGACGCUGAUGCACGAAAGCUAGGGGAGCAAACAGGAUUAGAUACCCCUGUAGUCCCUGUCUCUUAUAC
This 301-nucleotide ribosomal RNA is filed under the name uncultured bacterium. RNAcentral's name for it is "partial 16S ribosomal RNA". It matches the Rfam family "Bacterial small subunit ribosomal RNA", at positions 509 to 807 of the family's 1533-position model. The record is from RNAcentral.